RNAcentral lists this ribosomal RNA (230 nucleotides) under uncultured bacterium. RNAcentral describes it as "partial 16S ribosomal RNA". It matches the Rfam family "Bacterial small subunit ribosomal RNA", at positions 562 to 791 of the family's 1533-position model. The record is from RNAcentral.
AAAGAGCUCGUAGGCGGUCUGUCGCGUCGGCUGUGAAAACUCAGGGCUCAACCCUGAGCCUGCAGUCGAUACGGGCAGACUAGAGUCCGGCAGGGGAGACUGGAAUUCCUGGUGUAGCGGUGAAAUGCGCAGAUAUCAGGAGGAACACCGGUGGCGAAGGCGGGUCUCUGGGCCGGAACUGACGCUGAGGAGCGAAAGCGUGGGGAGCGAACAGGAUUAGAUACCCGUGU